Molecule: long non-coding RNA, 1172 nt
Filed under: Zonotrichia albicollis (white-throated sparrow)
Lineage: Eukaryota; Metazoa; Chordata; Aves; Passeriformes; Passerellidae
Description: lncRNA (ENSZALG00000016693.1)
Source: RNAcentral
AGUCUCGCUGCGUUUCUCCCUUGCCCAAAGCGAGAGCCUGCGGGCGUUGGCGGCGCCGCGGUCUGCCAGGAGAGCGGGGAGCGGAGCCGUGCCGGGAUUAAGUCACUCUCGCAAGGUCACGCGGUGAAUCGCUGCUGCUGCUGCCAGGAAUAGCGCCCCGAGUCUCUUGGCUCUCUCAAGCCCACCCGCAGCACUCCAGCCUCCUUUCCUCGGGUUAUGAAGCUUUCUGCAGCAAGAUUUGAAGCAGCCAAAUUCCAGCUUAGAUCAAAGUCCCUAGGAUUCACUUGUGAUUUCCGGAUGGAGUAUGGCAAGAGCGUUGGUGGGAGCAGACAAUGCUUGUGCUGAUAGCAGAGGUUGAAGUGUUUCCUGUCAUGGAAAAGAUGAACAAGCCAGUUCCGCAUCAGCUUUCUUUUCUGAGACUUCCAGCUGUAACUGAAGCCUCAGUUCCCGUGAUGAUGCUCCUGGGGCACAGCCCGAUGGCAUCUGCAGAGUGGGGCAUGGAGAACAAGGGACCCCGAGCCACAGGGAGGGACUGCAGCCCCUGCGCCCCUCUCCCCAUGGAGAGACAGCAGAACAUCAUGGUGCCCUCAGAGCCAGCACAGCGCAGACAUCUCCAACAGGGGAUCAGCAAACGCAUAGGACAGGUACACUCCCUUCUGAGUGACAGCACUUCCCAAAGCCUCGCUCUGCAGCCCUGGAGCCUGCUUCAGCAGCCCUGGGAGCCUGGCCAUGGUGAGGGCAGUGACUGCAAUUUGUGUGGGACAAUCUGCUCCUUGCACGCGUUGCUCAGAGGCGGAUCCUGUUCAGAAACCCCUUCUCUGCCCCUGUGGAACAGAGGGCUAUGGCACCUUCACAUGGAACCACGCUCAACUGGAAUGUCACAGAUUUGCCUCUGGGGCCAACCUGAGCUGCAGCAGAGCAUGGAGAAGACAGUUUCAGGUAAGACAGCGGAUGCACUUUGCACACUCGUGAGGGUUGCUGACAGCAGACUUCCAUGGGGAAGUCACACCAGUAAUGAAUGUUCCAAAGGGAAUUGGGGCUCCCACGCCUGCAGGGAGGCAGCCAUGGAGGCAGGUAUCUGGUGUCUCAAUGUUCAGAGGAUUUCCCCACAGCUCACCUGGGCUCAGGUGGUGGGCUUAGAGACUCCGUGCCCAUCUCACUGCAGCCUCUGA